CCUACGGGAGGCAGCAGUGAGGAAUAUUGGUCAAUGGCCGUAAGGCUGAACCAGCCAAGUCGCGUGAAGGAAGACGGAUCUAUGGUUUGUAAACUUCUUUUAUAGGGGGAUAAAGGUAUCCACGUGUGGCUAUUUGCAUGUACCCUAUGAAUAAGCAUCGGCUAAUUCCGUGCCAGCAGCCGCGGUAAUACGGAGGAUGCGAGCGUUAUCCGGAUUUAUUGGGUUUAAAGGGAGCGUAGGUUGUUUUUUAAGUCAGCGGUGAAAGUUUGUGGCUCAACCAUAAAAUUGCCGUUGAAACUGGAAGACUUGAGUGUGUUUGAGGUAGGCGGAAUGCGUGGUGUAGCGGUGAAAUGCAUAGAUAUCACGCAGAACUCCGAUUGCGAAGGCAGCUUACUAAGCCAUAACUGACACUGAAGCACGAAAGCGUGGGGAUCAAACAGGAUUAGAUACCCUUGUAGUC
RNAcentral lists this ribosomal RNA (460 nucleotides) under uncultured bacterium. RNAcentral describes it as "partial 16S ribosomal RNA". It matches the Rfam family "Bacterial small subunit ribosomal RNA", at positions 338 to 795 of the family's 1533-position model. The record is from RNAcentral.